This 253-nucleotide ribosomal RNA is filed under the name uncultured bacterium. RNAcentral describes it as "partial 16S ribosomal RNA". It matches the Rfam family "Bacterial small subunit ribosomal RNA", at positions 524 to 776 of the family's 1533-position model. The record is from RNAcentral.
GACGUAGGAUGCAAGCGUUAUCCGGAAUUAUUGGGCGUAAAGCGUUCGUAGGUGGUUUGUUAAGUUGGAUGUUAAAGCUUUGAGCUCAACUCAAAACUGGUAUCCAAAACUGGCAGGCUAGAGACAGGUAGAGGUAGGUAGAAUUCUGUAUGUAGGGGUAACAUCCGUAGAUAUACAGAGGAAUACCAAAAGCGAAGGCAGCCUACUGGACCUGUUCUGACACUCAAGAACGAAAGCGUGGGGAGCAAACAGG